Molecule: transfer RNA, 71 nt
Filed under: Marmota monax (woodchuck)
Lineage: Eukaryota; Metazoa; Chordata; Mammalia; Rodentia; Sciuridae
Description: tRNA.Ala
Source: RNAcentral
GGGGUUGUGCCUCAGCGGUAGAGCACUCAUCUAGCACCUGCGAGAUGCUGGGUUCGAUCCUCAGCACCACA